UCAUGAUAAGGCUCAUAUCUCAAGAGCCACUUGUCACCAUGGGAAGAAAGCAAUAAUUAGGGUGUAAAUCUCAAGUGCCAAGUGUCACCAUCUUAGAAAGCCAAGUGUCACAAUCCUAUGGAUUUAAGGGCACUAUAUAAGAAUGCCUUGGGUUGGGUUUUUGGCCACCAAAUUAAGGGGGUAAGUUGCUUAUAAAGGAGGGGAAACUCUGCUGUAAAGAAGGGAAGGAAACCCUGCCCGAGUAGGAGCCGAAAGCAAGCCGUUGGAAGGCACGAGCCCCUUGAAAUCCGUGCAAAACAGUAACCAAAACUGCAAGGUUUGGAUACAAAAAGGUCUCGGUUUUUAUAGAACAGUCCACUUGGAGCGACGUUUGGCCGUGAAUUUGUGCAACCAAGAAGUGGGAAGCUUCGAUCUGUCAGGCUCGG
Diospyros lotus (date-plum) is the source of this 425-nucleotide long non-coding RNA. RefSeq lists it as uncharacterized. The record is from RefSeq and is a predicted model, not a curated record. The transcript has 3 exons. NCBI's taxonomy places the organism in Eukaryota, Viridiplantae, Streptophyta, Magnoliopsida, Ericales, Ebenaceae.